RNAcentral lists this ribosomal RNA (480 nucleotides) under uncultured bacterium. RNAcentral describes it as "bacterial SSU rRNA". It matches the Rfam family "Bacterial small subunit ribosomal RNA", at positions 903 to 1397 of the family's 1533-position model. The record is from RNAcentral.
AAAUGAAUAGACGGGGACCCGCACAAGCGGUGGAGCACCUGCUUUAAUUCGAUGAUAACCGAAGAACCUUACCAAGGUUUGACAUGCUACUGCAAAUCCCGUGAAAACGGGACGUCCUUCGAGGGUGUAGCACAGGUAUUGCAUGGCUGUUGUCAGCUCGUGUCGUGAGAUGUACCGUUAAGUCGGGUAACGAGCGCAACCCCUAUGGCUAGUUGUAUCACUCUAGCAAGACUGCCCCGGCAACGGGGAGGAAGGAGGGGAUGAUAAUAAGUCAGCAUGGUCCUUAUGCCUUGGGCGAGACAGGUGCUACAAUGGCCGGUACAAUGGGCAGCGACGUAGCAAUGCGAAGCUAAUCUCUUAAAACCGGUCUCAGUUCAGAUUGGGGGCUGCAACUCGCCCCCAUGAAGUUGGAAUCGCUAGUAAUCGCCAGUCAGCUAUAUGGCGGUGAAUACGUUCUCGGGUCUUGUACACACCGCCCGU